Molecule: ribosomal RNA, 211 nt
Filed under: Ostreococcus mediterraneus
Lineage: Eukaryota; Viridiplantae; Chlorophyta; Mamiellophyceae; Mamiellales; Bathycoccaceae
Description: partial Bacterial small subunit ribosomal RNA
Rfam family: Bacterial small subunit ribosomal RNA
Source: RNAcentral
GGGCUACACACGUACUAAAAUGGUCGGGACAAUGAGCUGCAAACCUGCAAAGGCUAGCCAAUCUCAAAAACCCGAUCUCAGUUCGGAUUGUACUCUGCAACUCGAGUGCAUGAAGGCGGAAUCGCUAGUAAUCGCUGGUCAGCAUACAGCGGUGAAUACGUUCCCGGGUCUUGUACACACUGCCCGUCACACCAUGGAAGUCGACUCUUCC